AAAAAUAUAAUUAUAUAUAUAUUAAAGUAGUAUUAGUUAAGUUCUUGAAAUUUAAAAAUUUUGGCGGUAUUUUAGUCUAUUCAGAGGAACCUGUUUUGUAAUCGAUAGUCCACGUUGUACCUUACUUAAAUUAGUUUAAGUUUAUAUAUCGUUGUUUAUUGAAUAUUUUAUAAAAAUAAUAAUUUUCAUAAUUUUUUAUAUAAAAAUAUAUCAGAUCAAGAUGUAGCUUAUAUUUAAGUUUAUAAUGGGUUACAAUAAAAUUAUUUUUGGAUAUAAAUUAUAAUUGAUUUAUUGAAAUUGGAUUUGAUAGUAAAUUUAUAUAGAUAAAUAAAUUGAUUUUAGCUCUAAAAUAUG
Molecule: ribosomal RNA, 354 nt
Filed under: Cephalosphaera eukrenaina
Lineage: Eukaryota; Metazoa; Arthropoda; Insecta; Diptera; Pipunculidae
Description: partial 12S ribosomal RNA
Source: RNAcentral